This is a long non-coding RNA of Symphalangus syndactylus (siamang), 3358 nucleotides long. RefSeq lists it as uncharacterized. Lineage: Eukaryota; Metazoa; Chordata; Mammalia; Primates; Hylobatidae. The record is from RefSeq and is a predicted model, not a curated record.
CCUGUCAAAACAGACCACUAGGCUCUACCAAUCAGCAGGAUGUGGGUGGGGCCAGAUAAGAGAAUAAAAGCAGGCUGCCCGAGCCAGCAGUGGCAACCUGCUCGGAUCUCCUUCCACGUUAUGGAAACUUUGUUCUUUUGCCCUUUGCAAUAAUUUUUGCUACUGUUCACUUGUUUGGGCCCACGCUGCUUUUGAGCUGUAACACUUACCGCGAAGGUCUGCAACUUCACUCCUGAAGCCAGGAAGAUCAUGAGCCCACGAAAAGGAACAAACAACUCCAGAUGUACUACCUUAGGAGCUGUAGCACUCACCAUGAGGGUCCGUGACUUCGUUCUUGAAGUCAGUGAGACCAAGAGCUCACAAAUUCCGGACACAGCUGAAGCAGGACAAUCGCUUGAACCCGGGAGGCGGAGAUUGCAGUGAGCCAAGACUGUGCUACUGCACUCCAGCCUGGGUGACAGGCACCAUCUCAAAUAAACAAAAUAAGAGAUGAGCAUUCUACCAACUGCUGUGGAAAAGAAGGGAAAACCAUGGUUAUCUUAAAUCUACCUGAAGUAAAAAGAGAAUAAAAUGAGGCAGAGUAGAAAAGGGGCUUGGCUUCAGGCUACCCCCACUAGAGCAUUCCUUCAUGCAUCUCCACUGAUCACAAAACCUACCCCACUGCCUCAUUGACGCCAUAAUGUUAGAACUGCAUUUAGAAGAAUUCCAGGAACUGACCUUAAGAGACAACCAAGGUUGCCAAGUGUCCCACUUUGGGAAGGAAUGUUGAACAAUCAAUUGAUUUACAGUCUGUUGCCUCCGGCCAGACCACAGGGGUGGCUCAUUAAGUCAAGAUAACCAGAGCAACUUAGUAUGCCGCCCUGCACGCCCUACCGCCGAUGUCAGUUCCCCCGCUUUGCUUCUUAAAAAAGACUUGGGCUCUGGAGCUCCAGCAGAGGCCGCGGCCUCGGCUCCCACCCGUCGGGCCCCGACUUGAAGCAGCGGGGAACCUCUCCUUACACCUCGGCCACGGCGCAGCGCGGAUCCUGUCCUCGGGCGACCGCUCUGUCCCAAUUGGGCAAGACUACCUGGUCCUGAUGACAAUGGACAACGGCUUUAACGGCCGGAAGGUCAGCGGAGUCCCGGAUGAGGACUAGUGGAACGGUAACGGCCAUGGGGCGGUUGGCCUUCCUUCUACCAGACCUCGAUGUGGGAAGAGAAAAAUGGAGUAACAGGCCACAUUUGGCGCUUUGGAGAUGCCCACCACGCUUUGGGAAGGUGUACCUAUAAUGUGAGAAAGCUGCUCUCAGCUUCACCCAAAACUUUUACAAGAAAACAUUUGCCACAUCUAGCCCUUCCAGAUGUAAAGAAGCUGCUGACGUAUGAUAGACUAAGAAUAUUACACAUCUUGUAAAUUCUCAUUUGUUUAAAAAAAUCGUAGAAAAUAAACAUCUUCUGGAGAUGACUUUUUGAAAUGGAGAUGUUGCAUCACCUCUGGAAGCAACAUCAGGAGCAGACACAUACACGUUUGUUCACUGGGUUAGACUAGGACAUGGAGAAGAUCUGAGAAGGAAGAGAAGAAGGUCCUAUGCCAGACUGGUCAUAUUUAGAAGACGUUUACAUAUUAUAAUCAUUGUCCUGUGUGUGCAUUUUAUUCCUCACUACUGUAUAUGUAGCUGACAACUCCAAGUACUUUUUGAAAUGUCUAGUCUUUUUUUUUUUUUUUUUUUUGAGAUGGAGUCUCUUUCUGUUGCCUAGACUGGAGUGCAGUGGCACGAUCAUGGCUCACCGCCCAUGUACAAGUGAUUCUCCUGCCUCAGUCUCCCAAGUAGCUGGGAUUACAAGCACGCACCACCAUGCCCGACUAAUUUUUGUAUUUUUAGUAGAAACGGUUUUCACCACGUUGGCGAGGCUGGUUUUGAACUCCUGACCUCAAAUGAUCCGCCCACCUCGGCCUACCAAAGUGCUGGGGUUACAGGCCUGAGCCACUGCUCCCGGAAAUGUCUAGUCUUUCUAGAUGUUCUGAAGUGUCUAAUAUAUGUUAAAUUUAGAGAUAGUAAAAUAUUACAUUUUGUAAAUAUCUUUUGGUUAAAAUUCAUAUGAAAUGUUUUGAGAGGGGAAUGGCCAACCACCAGUUCAGUAACAAACAUUGUGUUUAUGCACUGGUUCAGGGGAGGAGGAGAAGGAGGCUGUGCAGAGAGCGCUAUGCCACCAGUGUGCUUAUGGUGAGGCAAGAUUAACUAUUGUCUCUCAUGUCUGUGCACUUUGUUUUCCUUAUCUGUGUAUAUACAGUGCUUAUAGAGGAAAACAAGUCCUAAUUUACAUCUAGACUUUCUAGACAUUAAAGAGGUUUCCAGUAUAUGACAAAAGUAGAGUUAGUAAACUAAUAUAUUUUGAACAUUUUGUUUUAAAAUUCCUUGGGAAGAUUGUCUUCUGAAAAUUUGAGCAUUAUUGGCCACUGGGUUGACUGAGAUGGGAAGGGUUCUAGGCCGGAAUAUUUUUAUUUGGAAGACUCUUUCAGAUUUUAACUAUUGUUACAUGUGUACAGUUUAUUCAAGACUGCUUUGCAGGACCAGCACGGUGGCUCACACCUGUAAUCCCAGCACUUUGGGAGACUGAGGUGGUUGGAUUGCUUGAGGCCAGGAUUUCGAGACCAGCCUGGCCAACAUGGUGAAAUCCCAUCUCUACUAAAAAUACAAAAAUUAGCUGGGCGUGGUGAUGCACGCCUGUAAUCCCAGCUACUUGGGAGGCUGAGACAGGAGAAUCACUUGAACCAGGGAGGCAGAGGUUGCAGUGAGCCAAGAUCACACCACUGCACUCCAGCCUGGGUGAUGGAGUAAGACCCUGCCUCCAAAAAAAAAAAAAAAAAAAAAAAACCUGCUUUGUAUAUGAUGGACAAAUAAAUAUACUCUUUACCUGAAACAUCUAGCCUAUCUAGAUGUUUAGAAGUGCCCAGCAUACAUUAAAUGUACAGGUAACAUUUAACCUCUAAUGUAAAAGUAAGAGUAAAUAAUCACUUAAAAAUAUAUUUUUGCUAAAAUUCAUAAGAAAUAGUGUCUUUUGAAAGUGGAAUUGUUGCCGGGCGUGGUGGCUCACGCCUGUAAUCCCAGCACUUUGGGAGGCCGAGGCGGGUGGAUCACCUGAAGUCAGGAGUUUGAAACCAGCCAUGGUCAACAUGGUGAAACUCUGUCUCUACUAAAAAUGCAAAAUCAGCUGAGCGUGGUGGUACAUGCCUGUAUUCCCAGCUUCCUGGGAGGCUGAAGCAGGAGAAUCGCUUGAACCUGGGAGGCAGAGGUUGCAGUGAGCCAAGAUUAUGCCAUUGUGCUCCAUCCUGGGCAACAAGAGCGAAACUCCAUCUAAAAAAAAAAAAAAAAAGAAA